Molecule: ribosomal RNA, 489 nt
Filed under: uncultured bacterium
Lineage: Bacteria
Description: bacterial SSU rRNA
Rfam family: Bacterial small subunit ribosomal RNA
Source: RNAcentral
GACGAACGCUGGCGGCGCGCCUAACACAUGCAAGUCGAGCGAGAACCGGAGCUUCGGCUCCGGGGACAGCGGCGAACGGGUGAGUAACACGUGGAUAACCUGCCCUCGGCACCGGAAUAGCCCGGGGAAACCCGGAUUAAUGCCGGAUAGCCCCACAUCCCUGCGGGGAACGUGGGAAAAGGUAGCUUCGGCCUCUGGCCGAGGAUGGGUCCGCGGUGGAUUAGCUUGUUGGUGCGGGUAAUGGCCCACCAAGGCGACGAUCCAUAGCUGGUCUGAGAGGACGAUCAGCCACACUGGGACUGAGACACGGCCCAGACUCCUACGGGAGGCAGCAGUGGGGAAUCUUAGACAAUGGGGGCAACCCUGAUCUAGCCAUGCCGCGUGAGUGAUGAAGGCCUUAGGGUUGUAAAGCUCUUUCAGCUGGGAAGAUAAUGACGGUACCAGCAGAAGAAGCCCCGGCUAACUCCGUGCCAGCCGCCGCAGUAACAC